CCUCCGAGAAAAGCGUCGACGCGAGGUUUUAGUCACCCGUACCCCAAACCGACUCAGGUGGGUAGGUAGAGAAUACCAAGGAGAUCGAGAGAAUCGUGGUUAAGGAACUCGGCAAAAUGCCCCCGUAACUUCGGGAGAAGGGGGGCCGGACGCGUGAAGGGAUUUACUCCCGGAGCGUAGAAGGCCGCAGAGACCAGUGGGAAGCGACUGUUUACUAAAAACACAGGUCCGUGCUAAGACGCAAGUCGACGUAUACGGACUGACGCCUGCCCGGUGCUGGAAGGUUAAGAGGAAGGGUUAGCUUCGGCGAAGCUCUGAAUUUAAGCCCCAGUAAACGGCGGUGGUAACUAUAACCAUCCUAAGGUAGCGAAAUUCCUUGUCGGGUAAGUUCCGACCUGCACGAAUGGCGUAACGACUUCCCAGCUGUCUCAACCGCGAACUCGGCGAAAUUGCACUACGAGUAAAGAUGCUCGUUACGCGCAGCAGGACGGAAAGACCCCGUGACCUUUACUACAGCUUGGUAUUGGUGUUCGGUGUGGCUUGUGUAGGAUAGGUGGGAGACUUUGAAGCUGGCACGCUAGUGUCGGUGGAGUCGUUGUUGAAAUACCACUCUGGUCACUCUGGAUGUCUAACCAUGAACCGUAAUCCGGUUCUGGGACAGUGCCUGGUGGGUAGUUUAACUGGGGCGGUUGCCUCCCAAAAAGUAACGGAGGCGCCCAAAGGUUCCCUCAACCUGGUUGGCAAUCAGGUGUCGAGUGUAAGUGCACAAGGGAGCUUGACUGUGAGAGUGACGGCUCGAGCAGGGACGAAAGUCGGGACUAGUGAUCCGGCAGUGGCUUGUGGAAGCGCUGUCGCUCAACGGAUAAAAGGUACCUCGGGGAUAACAGGCUGAUCUUGCCCAAGAGUCCAUAUCGACGGCAUGGUUUGGCACCUCGAUGUCGGCUCGUCGCAUCCUGGGGCUGGAGUAGGUCCCAAGGGUUGGGCUGUUCGCCCAUUAAAGCGGUACGCGAGCUGGGUUUAGAACGUCGUGAGACAGUUCGGUCCCUAUCCGCUGCGCGCGUAGGAAAUUUGAGAAGAUCUAUCCCUAGUACGAGAGGACCGGGAUGGACGAACCUCUGGUGUGUCAGUUGUUCCGCCAGGAGCACCGCUGAUUAGCUACGUUCGGACCGGAUAACCGCUGAAAGCAUCUAAGCGGGAAGCCGUCUUCAAGAUGAGAUUUCCAUCCCUUAGGGGGAGAGGCUCCCAGCUAGACGACUGGGUUGAUAGGCAGGAUGUGGAAGUGGGGACUAAAGACCCAUGCAGCUGACCUGUACUAAUAAGCCGAUAACUCAAAAAG
RNAcentral lists this ribosomal RNA (1336 nucleotides) under metagenome. RNAcentral's name for it is "bacterial LSU rRNA". It matches the Rfam family "Bacterial large subunit ribosomal RNA", at positions 1605 to 2925 of the family's 2925-position model. The record is from RNAcentral.